This is a non-coding RNA of Mycobacterium xenopi RIVM700367, 61 nucleotides long. The record is from Rfam. Lineage: Bacteria; Bacillati; Actinomycetota; Actinomycetes; Mycobacteriales; Mycobacteriaceae.
GUUGACGUUGGCGAUGAAGCUCGCCUUGAUUGCCGCACCGGCUGAUGGCUUCUACCGCGUG